UUAGACUCAAAAGUUGUACUCUUUCAUUCAUGCGUAGAUGGAUAUAUUUAUAGCUAAACAAGAAACAGAAAAAGCUAAAAACUUGCAGCUGCAUGUGUUCCUAUGAAAGUGGAACUAAGCCACGUUAUUCUCCUUCCCUUCCAGUUAGUCAAUAUAUAACCAAAUCAACUACCAAGUAAAUCUGCUAAGGUACUAACACGUGACCCAUCCUCACAGUUUUUCAUUGUAGAUUCAAUUUCAUCAUCCAUAUAUAGCAUCUCUUUAACGUUUUUCUUGACAUGCAUCUUCAUAACGAAUGGGGUCUGCAUCUGCAAAAAAUACAAAGUCAAAAAAUUCAUCAAAAUCUAGCCUUUGUGUGUUUUCAUAGAUGCUUGUCAAGGUCUUCAUUUUUUUGACGGGUGUGUUGGAUGAACAUGAGGCCGAACUUGUGCUUGGAUCCUGAGUUAAGGGGCUUUGGGGUUGUUAUCUGGAGUGGUACGAAUCCUGUAUAUAUAUUAACCUCUAUUAACUAUCUAUUAACCUCAAUUGUUGGAUGUCAAGCCUUAUGGCUAAGGUCAGUUAUGAAUGAAUUAAGUCAACCUCAAUGGGAAGCUACUAGCAUUUUUUGUGACAACAAAUCUACCAUUGCUCUAUCCAAAAAUUCGGUCUUUCAUGGAAAAAGUAAGCAUAUCAGGCUCAAGUUUCACUUUGUUUGAGAGUUAGUAAAGGAUCAAGAAAUUGAGGUUGAAUAUUGUUGCUCAAAAGAUCAAGUUGCCGAUAUAUUUACAAAGUCUUUUCAAGGUGGAGCAUUCAAUCAUUUAAAGAAGAAUCUGGGUGUUGCUAAUGUCUAGCUUAAGGGGAAGUGUUAGAAUUAAGCUAGUCAUUAGAACUGUUAGGAAUGAAGUAUUUAUGGUUGUUAAUAGAUAGUUAUAGCAGUUUAGUAACCAUUGGUAUCUGAAUAGUUGUAAUAGUUGUAACGGUUGAUAUAUAUAUAUAUAUAUAUAUAUAUAUAUAUAUAUAUAUAUAUAUAUAUGUGUGUGUGUGUGUGUGUGUGUGUGUGUAUGUUUAUGACAGUUAAUAUGUUGUUGUUCCGUAUCUAUCAAAACAUUGUUUAUUUUAUUCUUGUCUCUCUUAAUCAUCUUAAGGAAUCAGAUCAGAGAUCUACAUUUAGUAGCAUCAAUGAUAGAAAAUUGAUCAAGAGUCAAGAUGUCAAACUCUUGUGGGUAAUAACUCUUUGGCACCCAAUGUUAAUAUAGCCCGAUGCAAGGUCCACACCAAAUACACUUGACAAGAUUCUGAUGAUUCCCACUAAUUUUCAGGAUUGUUUAGUUUAUUAUAAUUUAUUUUAUUUAUCACUCGGUAUGCAUCUCUAAUUUCUGGGAUUGUUUUUUUUUUCUUUUCUUAUGUAAUUCCACUCAAUUAUAUUACCCCUUGUGUUGCUUUAAAGGCAUUUUGAACUUCCCAUGCAUGCAAGAAAGUGUUAGCUAAAAGAAAUAAACAAUUGGAAAUUUUCUUGGUAUUAUGUAGCAUGUAUGAGAUGUUAUUUUCUUUUUCUAAAUGUUCGUGAUUAUUUUAUGUGUAAACGUUUUGAAUAAUUUAAAAAUCAUUUUUAACCAACUUUUGGGGAUGGAAAUUAUAGAUGAGUGAGUGAAGAGAAAUGCAAAUGAUCUUAUUUGGGAAAUGAGAAACUUAGAAGGAUUUGGACAAGUUUUGAUCGAAACUUGUAGUUUUUAAUGAGAAUUUAUAUAUGCUUGCUGACAAGAUACACACAUAGGGUGAUAGGGUCAUUGUUAAGUGUGGGACAUGUUUAUUAUAACAUCCUUAUAUACAAUUAUGAUGUUGGUAUGAACUUUCAAAACAAUACAAAUCAAUAAAGAUGUCAAACAUUCUCUCUUAUAGCGCCUCUUCGGAUUAUUGUAAUGAAAUGAUAAAGUCAGUAUCGAGGCCUGAUGGAGCUAAUGCAGUGAUACCAAUGUAUGUCACUGACUUUAUGUAUUCAUCUCUAAUGAAAUACUAUUCCAUAGUGUUUCAAUCUAAAAUGGAAGCCAACUAUAACCGACCAGUGGUGUGGGCUGGGGUAUUCAUCCUGAUAACAUCAUUGCAAUGCUGUCUGACUAUAUUACUUGAUUUGUGGAGUGGUUUCUACAACAAGCGAUAUUGGUUCCCAUGUAGAUAUUUCUAUCUGGGUGCUGUUUCUCUAACAUUCGUAACAGUCGCAGUGAAAUUAUCUACGGAUAUGACAAGCCCGAUGAAUGGAAAGGUGGACAUAACAACUAAGUUUGGAUGCUUGGCUUUUAUGUGCACAAUGGUCACAAACAUCAUGCCUUCUUUGGUGUCCAAGGACACCAAAGAACUUCUAUCAAUCGUGAUAACUUUUGCUAUUCUCAUAAUCACUGUCAUCGGGAACACUUGGGUGCAGUGUAUUAGUCGUGUCAUUUCUAAGUUUGGAUACUUGUACGUUGGUUUUCUUAUUCCAACUAAUACUUUUACUUGCUUUUUCUAUAACAAUUUGAUCGUCUAACAAAAUUUUAGAUGCCAAGUAUUAGACGCUUAGCAAAAUGGUUUGGAAGGUCAAGCACCGCAUGACACAAUAUACUCUUGUAAGAGUCUAAGUAGCCAUAUGGAACGAUACUUAAUUAUGGCGGAAAUGCGUAACCCUGAGUUUGCGCUUUCUAGCGACCCGAUUUGCUUUUUUUUUUCUCUCUUAAUUUCUUUAUUCAGUUUGGGAUUUUACAUAUUUAUAGCGGUGACACAACUUGCUUCACGUGAUGAUUUGGUACAGGAUUCAGCAUACAGUUGGUCUACGUUUCCUAGCCUUCUAACACAGUUCAGUGGAACUAUAAUAGGGGUCAUUGCCCCUAUCAUUAGAUGUUUUACAGUUGUGAAAUGCAUCAUCUGAGCUUGUGAAAGCUCAAUUGGCGGCAAGGAAGCUGUGGGAUGAAUUGGACGACAACUAUAUGUGGGUGGAGAAAAGUGCAUUUCAAGGGAAAACAACCAUGGAGAGAUCCUUGGGUGGUUUUCUAACAAAGCAAAACAAAUUUUGGAUGGAGAACCGGUGCAUAACGUAUCUUGGGGGUUCAUUGUUAUGAAUUUAAUGUACUGCAUUGCACAAUCCAUCAUUAUGGUUACCACCCAAGAAGAAGAAGCAGUGAUUCCUGAAGUCCAAUUGUUUACGCUGUUAUCUCGAAUGAUAGCUGAUAUCUUGCUAGCCUCAGUGACGGAGCCAAUGGGGGGCUAGCGGGUGCUUCGCCACCCCCAACUGUUUCAAUUCAUAUAUUGGAAAGACUAAUAACUGAAUAUAUUUGAUUGGUUAAUUGAUGGUCCAUAUAACCCACCGCCACCCUUAUCUUUUGACAGGAAGUAUGAGUUUAUUUUCUUUAAAUGUUAAAUAAUUAUAGAUUCUUAUAUGGUUCCAUUUUGUGGAUUCUUUCUUUUCAAAAAUGAAAAAAUCCAUUUUGUUAGAAAUAGAUUAUAACGUAAAAAAUAAAGAUCUAUAAUACUGUUUCUAUAAGUGACUCUGAUUCAAAAAAAUCUCACUAAAAAGUCAAAUUCUAAAAUCAUAACCACAUUCUAUCAAAAUUUUAAAAUACUUUUGAUCCAACACAAGGGAUUUCUAAGGCACUAAAAUAUAAUUUUCUUUUUUAUUUACCACACACACACACACAUAUAUAUAUAUAUAUAUAUAUAUAUAUAUAUACAUACAUACANUAUAUAUAUAUAUAUUGUCAAACAAUAUAAAAAUAAGUCAUAUUUUAUAUUUGUAAAUUUAGAGAACCAAAAAGUCAUGGUUUUGAGUUUGUAUAAUACUAAAAGGUAACUAAUUUAUGUUUAGUAAAUUAAAGAGGCAUUAGAAAUUAGGCAUUUAAAACUUUUAUCAAUUACUCUAUGAUGAUUAUUUUUUGUUAGUUUUUUAGGUUGUUGAUUAUACGUAUUUAUUCUAAUGUAUGAUUUACUUAUUAACUUGUUAAUAUUAUUGUCUCUGAUUUGGAGUUGUCAAUUUGGCUAAAAAUCAUUAGAGCUUUACGAAAGUAAAUAUAGAUAUGAGCCCCUUAUCUUAAAACUCUGACUCCGACCCUGUAAGUGUGAGAUAUGUUGAUUUUAACAUCCUUAUAAAAAAAAUGAUGUUCGUAUUAGUUUUUAAAACAAUAAGCAUCAAUAUCAAAUACAUAUUACUUCAGUAAAGAUGUCAAACAUGGUCUCAUACACUGCUUCGUCUAGUUACUGGGAUGGGGUUGGUAUGUAGGCCCCACUAAUGUGGUAAUACCUAUGUACAUCAUUAACACUAAAACAUGUUAAGCAUACUACAAUCUUUGUUAACGUGGUAAAUUUUAACAUAUGAUAACCUUUUGUGCUUAUCGUUUUGAAAUUUCAAUUGUAAAUGAAGUUGUUUUUGUCCACCUCAACAUAGUUUACGAGAGAUGGUUUUACAUCUUUUUGGUUAAAAGAAAGGGAACAAACACUAGAUUACCAUUUUUAAUUUUGUUUAUUGCAUACUUCAUUGACGUGUAUAGAAAAAAAUAUAAUAAUUUUAAAUGCUAAUCAGAUUCGAUUCCGUUAACAACCAUUUUUAUUAUGCAUAAAAAUACUUAUGCAAUAUAUUAGCUUGUUCAAAACAUAAAAUUAAUUAAAAAAAAUCCAAUUAUGGUUUAUAUCUCCUAUUCUUUUUUUAUUAAGUCUACGUUUUUCAUGUGCAUAACUUAGUUGUACUAGACAACCGAUUAUGCAUGCUCAAUAGGUAUAAUUGGGUGAGAUCAUUGUAUACAACGUGCACAUAAAAUUAUUGUACUCUUUUGCAUUGAUCCUUUUUUUUUUCAAACACUAAGUUACUGAAAAUAAUUUUAUGUAUUUCAACAUCCGACGAACUUUUGUAUAUGGUAUAAAUUAUAGAAGAAUCAUAAUUACUUUACUCAGUUUUUUUAUUAAUAUAUUUAGCUAAUACCAUUCGACAUAUUUUGAAAUAACCGAAUAACCGAAUUUUUGUGGCUUACGAAUCCGAUGUUUUUUUUGCUUUAUCGAUUGAUCUAAGGUUGGAGGGAGUCAUUCCCUCCCAACCAUUCCCUCCCAAUCCACUGAACCCACUGCCACAUCAUUUUUUUCUCUUUUAUUUUUCUUCAUCUAUCCGAACCCACAGCACACGGAAACCCUAUCUUUUUGAACUCACUCAAUUAAAAAAAUAUACAAAACAAUCAAAUGUAAAAUCUUAAUUAGCAUUAGAGUUAUCGGCGGUACCAUUCCCACUUCAACGAGUGAGUUGAUUGGUUGCACUAACUCACUUCAUCAUCUCUCGCUACUUUCUCUUUCUUAUUUUCUCUUGUACCAUGUGUUUUAAAACUUGUACCUUAGCUGUUUUGUAUUUUUUAAUUGAGUGGGUUGGAAAAGAUGAAGAAAAAGAAGAGACAAAAAUUGAUGUGGCAGUGAGUUCGGUGGGUUGGGAGGGAACGACUCCCUCCUUCCUAAUAUUGUUAUGAAAGAAACUUUUGAUUUGUUUAUCAAUUUGGCUAAAAUUAAGAACUUUAAGAGGUGUUUAAGAUUACUUUUUAACCUCAAAAGUCCUUUUUAAAAAAAAAAAGACUUUUUGCAUAAAGGCUUUCUUAAAAUAUGUGUGGAUUAUUAUUUGAGGGGCAAAAUACAAAAGUUGUUUUUAAAAACUAUUUGGUUUAAUUUUUACAUCUAAAAUAACUAAAAGUCACAAUAAGUCACAUUUUAGUAACUUUUGAAAACCUUUAUUUUUCUUAUAUUCAAAAAGUCAUUUUUAAAAGAAAUUUUCUAUUAUCCAAAUACAGUUGGGCUUUUCUUUUUUGACUUUUUGAGGCUUUUCUUUUUUGACUUUUUGAGAAAGUUAAAAGUCAAAAACCAUUCUAAAAGGAAUCUCAAAUACCAUCCAAGUUUUAUAUGAAUAUUAUUUAUGUGAACUGUGGUGGACCUAGAAUCUUGACAAAUUGAUAAUGUCAAUGCAAUAAUGAUUAUGUAUUUUAUUUACAUCUUGUAUUGUUAAUUUUGACCAUUAUAUAUGAGAUAAUCAUAUUGUUGUUAAUAAACAUAAUGUAUGACCGCAAAUUUACAUCUGGAACCGACCCGGCCCGGGAACCGAAGUCGGCCGAAAUUAAUAACCGAACCAGACCGCUGGAUCUACCGGUUCCUACCGGUUCUUGCUGUGUCUUUGAUGUUGGAACCGGUCCUCGAGAAACAGCAACAUACGGUUCCGGUUUUUUCCGUUCUACCGGGGUUCCGUUUCUACCGGUUCCCGGUUCAAAAAAUGCACAAGAAUAUCGUCCCGGUCCCGGCCCAAUCGGUUCUAUCCGUUCCAGUUCCGGCCGGUUCCACGCACACACACCCACCCACCCAUCCACAAGAAUAUCGUCCCGGUCCCGGCAGGCACACACACACACACACACACACACACAUAUAUAUAUAUAUAUAUGAAAAUUCGAACGGACAAUUUUUUUAGCAUGAGAUUUGUUAGAAGUAACUACCGCCCCUUAGACACCAUAAGGAUGACCCCCUUGACCCUGCUAGGGGCUAUUUGGAACCCCACCAGGGGUGUUGCCCAGGGACCCCUAUGCUCCCGAAUUCACUUUGGCUUCUCUCGAUCGAGUAGACAACACCUCCAAUCUCAUAUUAUAACUAUAAUUCAACUCAGUUUGUCUCGACAAAUUUCAAGUACUCAAGAAUCACGAUGUCAUUAGGAUUGAGUAAUUGAAGAUAUUAUACACACAAGUUUUUACAUAAAUUCUAAUGUUCAUGCUUGAAACUAUUACAAGUCAUUGUUUUGUCCCCACGAGUGCAUAAAAGCCAAGCACUAAGCUUCCUGAAGCGGUAAAACUUCACUCACAUAGAUGGUCCUUUUAAUUCAUGCAUCAACACAUACAUGUUUUUAAUAGAGCUAUUAACGAACUAUUUAUCCUAAUUUUAAUUUGCAGUUUUAAGCACAUACCUUAGGAAGAAGUAAACCAAUGUGCUUUGAUCUCCAAAAGCAAGCCUUCUACAUUGAAUUCAAUUCCUAGCAUUGUAUUAGGAGGGAAUUGGGUAUCUUACCCUUUCAGAGAUACCAAACGGGACUUAAACUUAUCUUGAUAACCGACAUAUUUAUCAAUUUCCUAGCUAAUCCUUUCGUUAAAUGAUCGACUAGAUUCUCUUAAGUCGAACAAACUCGACAUAACCUAUAAACUAUCCGACGAUCAUUAAACAAUAGAGUAGAAUAAAUUGAAAACACAAUUGUCAUUAUACAGUCGAAUUAAAAUCGAUUUGACUCCAAGCUGGAGUCGAUUGAACAGAAUUUGAAAGAAAACUCGGAAAAAUGGAGUUGCGAUUUAAAGAGAUCGGCCGGCAGUAUGAAGAUGAAGAUGCUUCAAUUAGCCAAGAUGAAGCACAAUUCAGAAGGUUUAGACAAGAACGUACCUGGAUCAAGUAAGUGAACGCCGUCUGGGGUGAGUUCCGUCAACACCACCGCCUGAAGCAGAGAUACGAUCCAGAUCAGCGUCGGAGAGUGAGCAUCGUACCCAUAACGGCGUCCGACGGUGCUUGAGAGAUACGAUCCAGAUUGGUGUCGGGGAAACGUCUUCCGACGGUGAAAUCCAUCAAAAGUACAGAUGCGUCAAAAGCACAUCGCAUCUUACUUCUAUUUUUACAAGAAAAUAAUCCUCACUUGUUACUAAUUUAUUACUUUAUUUAGUUUAUCGAUUCAAAUGUUAGGUGGCCCAUCGUUUUUUCUUUACAAGAGUUUGAAGGAUGAUGAGUUGGCUUCCAAUAUAGUUUCCAAUAUAGGCAUAGAUGAGUGCUUUAAGUUCAUAACGUGUAUACCUUUCAUUUUUCACCUUUUCAGUGAUUUUCCUUUUCAUAUUUCUCAUUUUUUUAAAACCUAAAAA
This 7844-nucleotide long non-coding RNA is filed under the name Lactuca sativa (garden lettuce). Its description in RNAcentral is "long non-coding RNA (LSAT_LNC009785)". The record is from RNAcentral. Lineage: Eukaryota; Viridiplantae; Streptophyta; Magnoliopsida; Asterales; Asteraceae.